AUUGAACGCUGGCGGCAGGCCUAACACAUGCAAGUCGAGCGGAUGAAGGGAGCUUGCUCCUGGAUUCAGCGGCGGACGGGUGAGUAAUGCCUAGGAAUCUGCCUGGUAGUGGGGGAUAACGUCCGGAAACGGGCGCUAAUACCGCAUACGUUCUGAGGUUGAAAGUGGGGGAUCUUCGGACCUCACGCUAUCAGAUGAGCCUAGGUCGGAUUAGCUAGUUGGUGGGGUAAAGGCCUACCAAGGCGACGAUCCGUAACUGGUCUGAGAGGAUGAUCAGUCACACUGGAACUGAGACACGGUCCAGACUCCUACGGGAGGCAGCAGUGGGGAAUAUUGGACAAUGGGCGAAAGCCUGAUCCAGCCAUGCCGCGUGUGUGAAGAAGGUCUUCGGAUUGUAAAGCACUUUAAGUUGGGAGGAAGGGCAGUAAGUUAAUACCUUGCUGUUUUGACGUUACCAACAGAAUAAGCACCGGCUAACUUCGUG
RNAcentral lists this ribosomal RNA (484 nucleotides) under uncultured bacterium. RNAcentral's name for it is "partial 16S ribosomal RNA". It matches the Rfam family "Bacterial small subunit ribosomal RNA", at positions 30 to 507 of the family's 1533-position model. The record is from RNAcentral.